This 253-nucleotide ribosomal RNA is filed under the name uncultured bacterium. RNAcentral describes it as "partial 16S ribosomal RNA". It matches the Rfam family "Bacterial small subunit ribosomal RNA", at positions 524 to 776 of the family's 1533-position model. The record is from RNAcentral.
UACGUAGGGGGCAAGCGUUAUCCGGAUUUACUGGGUGUAAAGGGAGCGUAGACGGCUGUGCAAGCCAGAUGUGAAAGCCCGGGGCUCAACCCCGGGACUGCAUUUGGAACUGUGUAGCUGGAGUGUCGGAGAGGCAGGCGGAAUUCCUAGUGUAGCGGUGAAAUGCGUAGAUAUUAGGAGGAACACCAGUGGCGAAGGCGGCUUACUGGACCGUAACUGACGUUGAGGCUCGAAAGCGUGGGGAGCAAACAGG